GGGCCGUUAGCUCAGCGGUAGAGCGUCCGCCUUACACGCGGCAGGUCGCAGGUUCGAUCCCUGCACGGCCCA
Molecule: transfer RNA, 72 nt
Filed under: Elusimicrobiota bacterium
Lineage: Bacteria; Pseudomonadati; Elusimicrobiota
Description: Elusimicrobia bacterium (mine drainage metagenome) tRNA-Val
Rfam family: tRNA
About the family: Transfer RNA (tRNA) molecules are approximately 80 nucleotides in length.
Source: RNAcentral